UGUAUAUGCUGUAAUGAUGGAAUUUCUUUUUGGAAUAUACAGGAACUAAGUGAAAACAGAGAUUCCCCUGAAAUUAGCCUUCUUGCAGGUACUGCUAUUACAGUAUCUGGUAUGCUUGCUGUAAAGGAGAAAUCAUUAACAGAGCAAGAGAAGAUCUUAGCAGUACCACAUGCAUUUUCUGAACCUGGGAAGGAAGUUUCAAUGACUAUGACUUCUAAAGAAGCCAAGGAUGAAGAAAGCUCCCUUGAAACUUUUGUAUCUGCCUUAGAAAGGUUGCUAACAUCACCAGACAGCACCCAGGAGGAAAGACUGUUAGAAAUAAUGAAUGAUUUUGAUCCCGGAGAAUUGAUUAACUCCCCAAGUUCCAUAGAAAUACCUUUGAAUGCUUCAUCAGCUUAUAGCAGAGAUUUGCUAGAAAACACAAAGGAUGAUACAUUACCUGCAGAGUUAUUGGCAGCCCUGAACACAUUGUCAGAAACCAAGCUGGGACCCAUCUGUCACAGAAUAGAGGAAGGCAGCAAUCUUAGUGAUGAAAAUGGAUGUUUAGAAGUAGAGCCUGUUAUGUCCCAAACUGAUGAAGAUUGUACACAAAUAGCAGAGGUGAAUUUUUAAUCUCUUCAUUCUACUCUAUCAUUAGAGCAAAGUUCCAAC
RNAcentral lists this long non-coding RNA (651 nucleotides) under Marmota monax (woodchuck). The record is from RNAcentral. Lineage: Eukaryota; Metazoa; Chordata; Mammalia; Rodentia; Sciuridae.